Paramuricea clavata is the source of this 765-nucleotide non-coding RNA. The record is from the annotation of a GenBank genome assembly. NCBI's taxonomy places the organism in Eukaryota, Metazoa, Cnidaria, Anthozoa, Malacalcyonacea, Plexauridae.
GCUGAAUUACGUGCUAAGAAUUUUACAAUAUACUACAUCUACUAUUUACCAAAUAAUGUUCAAUAUAACUAACUUCUAUAUUAUAUAACGUUCGAUAGCAUGACUAAUUAUAAAAGAGUUCUUAAAUCUAUUAGUUCUAAAUUUUGGAAUUUGAUAGUCUCUCAUCCUACGCAGAUUUAUGGUGUCGGAAGCCUUCAGGCUUCAGCGGAAGAAGUGAAGCCAGCUUAUGAUCUGUAUCGCUGGCUAUCAUCUCAAAUAAGUGUUAGAGAGUUCAUCACGUCUAGCGAAAAGUGUUACUAAAUCGAAAAGGGUCCGUUACGAAAAUGAAUUUAAAAGAGACGUGUGAACCAUUACCGUUUGUUAUGCUCUUGUAUCCACGAUGUUGUCUACGUUUAGUGGACGACGAGCAAAUUCCGCUUGCCGCCCUAAAUAUUUGACAGCAUAGAAUCGUAGAUACUUGAGCAAUUCAGAGACCUUACGAUUUUAGGACGGCAACGCGACGGCAACGGCUACCAAUUCAACAGAUCAUUGAAAAGAAUUAAGUAAUUACAAUAUAUGAAUAAUUUAGACAUUGUCCUCGCUCUGUUUACAACGCCAAAUCCCUGAUUUUUACGUCUUAUACAACGGCUGCAUUCCAAGCCACAAAGCAGAACUCUUCCCAGUUCCCAACCACAAAACCCAUGUCUUCAACUUCUAAAACUGUAUUAAAUUCAUACGAUUGAUAAUAUACGACGAACUAUCUUUACUACCAUUUAUUUGAAGGAG